This 382-nucleotide ribosomal RNA is filed under the name uncultured microorganism. RNAcentral describes it as "bacterial SSU rRNA". It matches the Rfam family "Archaeal small subunit ribosomal RNA", at positions 330 to 713 of the family's 1478-position model. The record is from RNAcentral.
GCGCAGCAGGCGCGAAACCUCCGCAAUACACGAAAGUGUGACGGGGCCAUCCCGAGUGCCGUCCGCUGAGGACGGCUUUUCCCCAGUGUACACAGCUGGGGGAAUAAGGAGAGGGCAAGCCUGGUGUCAGCCGCCGCGGUAAUACCAGCUCUCCGAGUGGUGGGGACGCUUAUUGGGCCUAAAGCAUCCGUAGCCGGCUGGGCAAGUCCUCCGUUAAAUCCAACGAUUCAAUCGUUGGGCUGCGGGGGAUACUGUCCAGCUUGGGGGGCGGGAGAGGCCGACGGUAUUCCCGGGGUAGGGGUGAAAUCCUAUAAUCCCGGGAGGACCACCAGUGGCGAAGGCUGUCGGCUAGAACGCGCCCGACGGUGAGGGAUGAAAGCGU